Armigeres subalbatus is the source of this 620-nucleotide long non-coding RNA. RefSeq lists it as uncharacterized. NCBI's taxonomy places the organism in Eukaryota, Metazoa, Arthropoda, Insecta, Diptera, Culicidae. The transcript is spliced from 3 exons. The record is from RefSeq and is a predicted model, not a curated record.
AAGGUAAAUAACGAUAGCUGCAUGUUUACUUUUUGCGCUCUGCUUCGAAUCCAAGUUUUUCGUUCUGAUGCAAAAGUUUUAAAAUAAAAAGUAUUUUGUCGAUCCCUAAAAUAACGCUUUGUUUUGCAACGACGCUCCGAUGGAACAACUGAAGAUGUUGGAAGCAGGUUGGAAGUAGUGCUGUUGCCAACGAUCACGUUAGUUUUUGAUUCGCUAUUCGUCGGAUCGCUAAACCAUUUUAUUAAAACUUUGUGGUCUCUAGAACCGAUAUUGAACGACGUGGCGCACCGGCGCUAAGUGCUCGAGAUCAGGCGAAAAUUGGUUCCGGAUAAAAAGAUACCAUCGUUAUCAAUCUUAUCCUUUAUCGAUAAAAUCGGAUGGAAAAGGUGUGUCUAAUUAUGCAUCUAUUUCAAUCAAAAUUCAGGUGGCAUUAGUGGCUGGUUGUGUGCUAAUUAAUAAGAGAGUUCACAAAGUGGUCCAGGAGAUCCUUUCUUUUCAAAGAUGGGCCGGAUAUGUAUUCAAUCAUCAAAAAGUAACAACAUAACAACCUGACAAAGCCAUAUAACAAUGAUAAUAAUGUAAAUGUUCCAGAACAUGAUUUUUAAAAAUAAAUUCAAAUA